This 27-nucleotide small RNA is filed under the name Bombyx mori (domestic silkworm). Its description in RNAcentral is "ovarian small RNA-17855". Lineage: Eukaryota; Metazoa; Arthropoda; Insecta; Lepidoptera; Bombycidae. The record is from RNAcentral.
GUGAUGGUCACGGGGCGACCUAAGGGG